RNAcentral lists this unclassified non-coding RNA (323 nucleotides) under Leotiomycetes sp. RNAcentral describes it as "partial contains 5.8S ribosomal RNA, internal transcribed spacer 2, and large subunit ribosomal RNA". RNAcentral also lists the same sequence under 1 other name. Lineage: Eukaryota; Fungi; Ascomycota; Leotiomycetes. The record is from RNAcentral.
AACGCAAGUUGCGCCCGACGCCAUUCGGCCGAGGGCACGUCUGCCUGGGUGUCACGCACCGUUGCCCCCAAACGCCCCCGCCUCGCAAGGGGCGCGGGAUCUCGUUUGGUGGCGGAAGUUGGCCUCCCGUGGGCCUGUGCUCGCGGUUAGCCUAAAAAGGAGUCCUCGGCGACGAGCGCCACGACAAUCGGUGGUUGAUUAGACCUCGGUCCCCGUCGUGCGUGUCUGGUCGCCACAAGGUGUGACUCGUCGACCCUAACGCGUCGUACCCACGUCGCUCCCAACGCGACCCCAGGUCAGGCGGGACUACCCGCUGAGUUUAA